RNAcentral lists this long non-coding RNA (229 nucleotides) under Elaeis guineensis (African oil palm). RNAcentral describes it as "long non-coding RNA (EGUI_LNC050941)". Lineage: Eukaryota; Viridiplantae; Streptophyta; Magnoliopsida; Arecales; Arecaceae. The record is from RNAcentral.
GUGGGCCAAUAGUAUUCUUGUCACAAGACUUUAUAAGCUAAUAAUUUAUCCCCCAAGUGAUUUUCAUAAAUUUCUUCAUGAACUUCUCAGAGUGCAUAGUCGGCAUCCGUUGGUCUCAAACACUUCAGUGAGAAAAAAGAGAAUAACCUUUUAUAGAGUUAUCCAUUCAUUAAAAUAUAUUGUGAGGCUAUCCACUGUAGUCAUUUGGCUUCUGAAAAAUCUGCAGGUA